UGCCAGACUCCUACGGGAGGCAGCAGUGGGGAAUAUUGCACAAUGGGGGGAACCCUGAUGCAGCGACGCCGCGUGGGUGAAGGAGCACCUCGGUGCGUAAAGCCCUAUCGGCAGGGGAGAAAAGCGAACAGGUUCGCCUGGACGGUACCUGACUAAGAAGCCCCGGCUAACUACGUGCCAGCAGCCGCGGGAAUACGUAGGGGGCAAGCGUUAUCCGGAUUUACUGGGUGUAAAGGGAGCGUAGACGGCAUGGCAAGUCUGAUGUGAAAACCCGGGGCUCAACCCCGGGACUGCAUUGGAAACUGUCAGGCUAGAGUGUCGGAGAGGCAAGUGGAAUUCCUAGUGUAGCGGUGAAAUGCGUAGAUAUUAGGAGGAACACCAGUGGCGAAGGCGGCUUGCUGGACGAUGACUGACGUUGAGGCUCGAAAGCGUGGGGAGCAACCAGGAUUAGAUACCCUUGUA
This 462-nucleotide ribosomal RNA is filed under the name uncultured bacterium. Its description in RNAcentral is "partial 16S ribosomal RNA". It matches the Rfam family "Bacterial small subunit ribosomal RNA", at positions 329 to 792 of the family's 1533-position model. The record is from RNAcentral.